UACGUAGGGUGCGAGCGUUGUCCGGAAUUAUUGGGCGUAAAGAGCUCGUAGGCGGUGUGUCACGUCGUUCGUGAAAACCUGCAGCUUAACUGUGGGCGUGCGGUCGAUACGGGCAUCACUGGAGUUCGGCAGGGGAGACUGGAAUUCCUGGUGUAGCGGUGAAAUGCGCAGAUAUCAAGUGGAACACCAGUGGCGAAGGCGAGUCCCUGGACGAUUCCUGACGCUGAGGCACGAAAGCUAGGGGAGCAAACAGG
This 254-nucleotide ribosomal RNA is filed under the name uncultured bacterium. RNAcentral describes it as "partial 16S ribosomal RNA". It matches the Rfam family "Bacterial small subunit ribosomal RNA", at positions 524 to 776 of the family's 1533-position model. The record is from RNAcentral.